Molecule: unclassified non-coding RNA, 377 nt
Filed under: uncultured Cellvibrionales bacterium
Lineage: Bacteria; Pseudomonadati; Pseudomonadota; Gammaproteobacteria; Cellvibrionales
Description: contains 16S-23S intergenic spacer region
Source: RNAcentral
UCCGGUUUGUCACCGGCAGUCUCCUUAGAGUUCUCGGCCGAACCGCUAGCAACUAAGGACAAGGGUUGCGCUCGUUACGGGACUUAACCCAACAUCUCACGACACGAGCUGACGACAGCCAUGCAGCACCUGUCACCCGGUUCCCGAAGGCACCCCCGCAUCUCUGCAGGGUUCCGGGGAUGUCAAGGCCUGGUAAGGUUCUUCGCGUUGCAUCGAAUUAAACCACAUGCUCCACCGCUUGUGCGGGCCCCCGUCAAUUCAUUUGAGUUUUAACCUUGCGGCCGUACUCCCCAGGCGGUCUACUUAUCGCGUUAACUGCGCCACUAAGAAGUCAAGCUCCCCAACGGCUAGUAGACAUCGUUUACGGCGUGGACUAC